UACGGGGGGGGCAAGCGUUGUUCGGAAUUACUGGGCGUAAAGGGCGCGUAGGCGGUUGGAUAAGUCAGCUGUGAAAACCACGGGCUUAACUCGUGGCCUGCAGUUGAGACUGUCUGGCUUGAGUGUGGGAGAGGAGAGUGGAAUUCCUGGUGUAGCGGUGAAAUGCGUAGAUAUCAGGAGGAACACCGGUGGCGAAGGCGGCAUCCUGGACCGGUAUUGACGCUGAGGCGCGAAAGCUAGGGGAGCAAACGGG
RNAcentral lists this ribosomal RNA (253 nucleotides) under uncultured bacterium. RNAcentral's name for it is "partial 16S ribosomal RNA". It matches the Rfam family "Bacterial small subunit ribosomal RNA", at positions 524 to 776 of the family's 1533-position model. The record is from RNAcentral.